This is a non-coding RNA of Recurvomyces mirabilis, 89 nucleotides long. Lineage: Eukaryota; Fungi; Ascomycota; Dothideomycetes; Mycosphaerellales; Teratosphaeriaceae. The record is from the annotation of a RefSeq genome assembly.
GGUAACGUGGUUGAGUGGUAGAAUUCUUCCCUUCGGACUUAUGUCUACCUCUACGGAAGCGGUCCCAGGUUCGACCCCUGGCGUUGUCA